GAUGAAGAACGCAGCGAAAUGCGAUAAGUAGUGUGAAUUGCAGAAUUCAGUGAAUCAUCGAAUCUUUGAACGCACAUUGCGCCCCUUGGUAUCCCGAGGGGCAUGCCUGUUCGAGCGUCAUUUCACCACUCAAGCCUGGCUUAGUGUUGGGCGACGUCCUCUUUGGGGACGCGCCUCGAAACGCUCGGCGGCGUGGCACCGGCUUUAAGCGUAGCAGAAUCUUUCGCUUUGGAAGUCGGGGCCCCGUCUGCCGGAAGACCUGCUCGCAAGGUUGACCUCGGAUCAGGCAGGGAUACCCGCUGAACUUAAGCAUAUCAAUAAGCGGAGGA
This 329-nucleotide unclassified non-coding RNA is filed under the name soil metagenome. Its description in RNAcentral is "partial contains 5.8S ribosomal RNA, internal transcribed spacer 2, and large subunit ribosomal RNA". The stretch from base 1 to 120 matches the Rfam family "5.8S ribosomal RNA", at positions 35 to 154 of the family's 154-position model. The record is from RNAcentral.